This is a long non-coding RNA of Haliotis rufescens (red abalone), 657 nucleotides long. RefSeq lists it as uncharacterized. The transcript has 4 exons. The record is from RefSeq and is a predicted model, not a curated record. NCBI's taxonomy places the organism in Eukaryota, Metazoa, Mollusca, Gastropoda, Lepetellida, Haliotidae.
UGACAGAUGACAACGUACAACAUCAGAGCUCAGACGUCAAUCUACCCAUCUCACCCACAACGAUGUUUCUUCGGCUGACUUUUCUCUUGGCGAUUCUGCCAGCUAUAAUUGCAGAGUACUGCACGUUUGAAAACCUUCAUGGAAACAAAACCACCCGAAGGUGCAGCAGUGGGUGUUGCACUGACGAGUGUUGUGAGGAGGACAGUUCGGUCGGUGUCUACGUGGGUGGAUCUGCAGGUGGUGGGUCGAUGCUCGUCUUGUUGAUCUGCUACUACUACUGUUGUUGCCGGAACAAUGACCCAGUCGUAGCGGUAGUUAUUUAGGCUGGUGUCAAGGAAUAUGCAGUGGCAACAAUCAUCACAAUUCAAUUUGCCAAUCCUGAAACCUAAAACUUUAUCUACAUUUGUUACACUGUCUACUCUUUCAACAUGUGUUAUUAACUUGCUACGUACACUAUCUACCAACAGUGUUAUCGCUUUUCUACUCUAUCAACAUGUGUUAUACUGUCUACUACAUACUUCUCCUCCGUCCCAGGGGGCACGGGGGGCCCAGUCGUCUAAAGGCGCCGCGAUUCGCUGUGCAGAGUGGCGUCCCUUGGGCACGCCAGAAACCUGUUUCUAGGUUUGUCAGCACCACACCCGUGCUCGUGGGUUGCAC